Molecule: long non-coding RNA, 1414 nt
Filed under: Marmota monax (woodchuck)
Lineage: Eukaryota; Metazoa; Chordata; Mammalia; Rodentia; Sciuridae
Source: RNAcentral
GGAGCUCACAGCCGGGGAGACCAGUGAAUUCUUCCCUGUAGACUUGAGGAACCCAGACGCCCUCCCAGGUGAAAGACCAUCUUCGUGGGAGGUGGUGUGGGGGCACUGUGCCUCAGUCUUGCCCCUGGCUCGGCCCUGCCUGGUGUUUGCUUUCUGACCUUUUCUCCGUGGGUGAAUGCAGGCACCCGAUGAGGUCAUCUCCACUCUCCCUUCCAGCUCGGAACAGACUAUGGUCCCUCAGAGAUGAUGGGGAUUGAUCAUCAUUUCAACAUUACCCGAGAUGAACGAAAAAAAGGAAUCUUUCCAUCAGGGUCGACUGGCUGCAUUCAUCGGCCAAAAAAAGUCUAGUUUUCAAGAGGUUGUUGAUAAAGAUGAUGAGCGUUGACAUUUUUAAGAGAUGUCCCAGGUGCCAGGAGCUGCUCGGUGCUUUUUUCAUGGAUCAAUUUAUUUAAUCUUAAGCUGCACGGAGAAGCUCUGAAUCUGGAGAAGCUCUAUAUCUAACGCUUGGAUUUUAUAUAUUUUUAAGCUGACAGAUGUUCAUUUAAGUCCUUGCUCUGCUUUUUGCUGCCUGGGUGACCUUGACCCUGUUCCCUUAAGCAACGUGAGCCUCAGAGCUCUCUGCCCCUCUGAUGAGAGAUGGAUGGUGUAUGAAGCUCCACACACCAUCAGGUGCACGGCGCAGUGCAAGCCCACCACGGCCCUGGAGAGAAGUCCCUUGGAGCGGAGUGGAAAUGUCUAGCAGACCUUUCUCUUUGUUUUCGCACAAGGCGCUUUUUAACAUUUCAACACCUCUCUGAGCGGCUGGGAGGCAGCCUGCAGUGGUCCCCAAGAGCUUGGUGCAGGACGGGUACUGACGGUCAAGUUCUGCCUGUGCCACCCAGCUGUGUGACCUCGGUCAAGUUCUUAACUUCUCUGACCCUCCAUGCCCUCAUCUGGAAAAUGAGGGUAGUAAGAGAAUUAAUUGUCUUCACUCAGGUACCGAGCACUUAGGAUAGGGCUAUUAAUGUUCCCCAUUAUGGUCAUUAUUGCCAUCUAAUUAUUUUUAUUAUUAUUGCUAUCAUAGAAUUCAUUAGCGCAUCAAGUAUUUAAUAGGCUCCACGUGUGUACAUAACAUUGCACUUGGUACAGAGGUGAAGGAUGCCAACGAUGAGGGAUGCCCCUGUGAUUCCCACCAUCCAGCGUCACAGUCCACGUGGAGACUGGUUCAGCCAACCAACCCCGCCCCCCCAACACCCACCAAGGCUCAGACAAGGAAACCAAACAGGAGUCAGACCGUUCCUGCCCCCAGGGAACUCACCGUUUGGCCAAGAAGCCAGACCCAGGGAGAGAGUGGCACAGCACCAAAGGGCAGGCACUUGAGUGACCACCCAGGGUCACAUCUGGCUCUACCAGCCACCAGCCACAGGCCCUUUGC